AGUGUGGAAAACAAUAGCGAUAGAGGAGGAAGACUCAUUACUGUCAACUAUCGCCAGUGUUAUUUUAAUUCAACCUCCUCAAGUACUACAUACACUCCUACUACGAUACCACAUACAACUUCUACUACUCCUGUGUCGGCGCCUACAACGUUUACUACUCAAGUUCCUAUCACGACCUUCACCACCUCUUGUUUACCCACACCCAUCACAACUCCUACUACACAGACUAUCCCCCCAACUACCACCAUACCAACUACCACUACCGCACCAACAACUACUAUCCCCCCAACUACCACCAUACCAACUACCACCACUACUACCACUACCGCUCCAACUACUAUCCCUCCAACUACCACCACUCCAACUAGCAGCAUACCAACUACCACCACUCCAACUAGUAUCACUUUAACACAUAACACUCAAACCACAGCAACUACUGAAUCACCGCCUGACACAUCAACUAGCACUUUCAUUCAUCAAACAACCAUAUCCUCACCUAUCACUUCACGUCAUCCUAACUCGACUCUUUCUUUAACCUCACCUUCACUUUCCACACAUACACCCUCAUCAACAGAUACAUCAGUCAAGCCACUCAUCAUAACAGAUCCACCCUCCCCUACCUUUGAGGACAAGGAUGAUGAUUCUCACCUACAUACUUAUGACGAAGAUGAUGAUGAUGAUGAUGAU
Molecule: long non-coding RNA, 687 nt
Organism: Haliotis rubra (blacklip abalone)
Lineage: Eukaryota; Metazoa; Mollusca; Gastropoda; Lepetellida; Haliotidae
Exons: 3
Source: RefSeq, a predicted model, not a curated record